RNAcentral lists this ribosomal RNA (301 nucleotides) under uncultured bacterium. RNAcentral describes it as "partial 16S ribosomal RNA". It matches the Rfam family "Bacterial small subunit ribosomal RNA", at positions 509 to 809 of the family's 1533-position model. The record is from RNAcentral.
CAGCAGCCGCGGUAAUACGGAGGGAGCUAGCGUUGUUCGGAAUUACUGGGCGUAAAGCGCACGUAGGCGGCUUUGUAAGUUAGAGGUGAAAGCCUGGAGCUCAACUCCAGAAUUGCCUUUAAGACUGCAUCGCUUGAAUCCGAGAGAGGUGAGUGGAAUUCCGAGUGUAGAGGUGAAAUUCGUAGAUAUUCGGAAGAACACCAGUGGCGAAGGCGGCUCACUGGCUCGGUAUUGACGCUGAGGUGCGAAAGCGUGGGGAGCAAACAGGAUUAGAUACCCCAGUAGUCCCUGUCUCUUAUAU